CACACAGGAGAAGAUGGGAAAAUUAAAUAAUAGGUUAUUUCCCUUCGGGUAUUUUAUGAAUAAUUGUAAUAAUUGAUUAUUAAGAAUGUAUGUUUUUCUUUGAUUUCUAUAGGUAUAGUGAAAUUAUUAAUAUGUGGUCAAUCAAAGCAACUGCUCAGAGCCAAAAUUCUAACUUUCAACUAUAUGAAAGACGCCAGUCCAGUCUAGAUCCACAAGUGCAAAUUUCUUUCUAUUUGGGCUUCUUCUGAAAAAUUCACAGAAAUAUGCUGAGAGGGAAAGAAACAACCAACCUAUGGACAAAGAAAAUAGCAUAAAUAUGUUUAUGUCUAUAGUGAUUAUAAUUAAAAAGUUAGUAUUACCCAAUUUCUUAAUGCGAAAUUGGUGCAUAAAUGCAUUUUCUGAAU
Molecule: long non-coding RNA, 404 nt
Organism: Pan paniscus (pygmy chimpanzee)
Lineage: Eukaryota; Metazoa; Chordata; Mammalia; Primates; Hominidae
Source: Ensembl